UACGUAGGGAGCGAGCGUUAUCCGGAAUUAUUGGGCGUAAAGGGUGCGUAGAUGGUUGAUAUAAGUCUUUUGUAAAAAUGCUAGGCUCAACCUAGUAGGGCAAAAGAUACUGAUGAACUAGAGUACGGCAGAGGCAAGUGGAACUACAUGUGUAGCGGUAAAAUGCGUAAAUAUAUGUAAGAACACCGGUGGCGAAGGCGGCUUGCUGGGCCUGUACUGACAUUGAGGCACGAAAGCGUGGGGAGCAAACA
This 251-nucleotide ribosomal RNA is filed under the name uncultured bacterium. Its description in RNAcentral is "partial 16S ribosomal RNA". It matches the Rfam family "Bacterial small subunit ribosomal RNA", at positions 524 to 774 of the family's 1533-position model. The record is from RNAcentral.